RNAcentral lists this ribosomal RNA (57 nucleotides) under Leptotrichia sp. RNAcentral's name for it is "partial 23S ribosomal RNA". The record is from RNAcentral. Lineage: Bacteria; Fusobacteriati; Fusobacteriota; Fusobacteriia; Fusobacteriales; Leptotrichiaceae.
GUGUAAGUAUAGAGAUAUAUUUAGCUGACCAGUACUAAUAAUACGAAAGCUUUUAAU